UGAGGAACAGUAACGGAGGUUUGUAAAGUUUUGAAAAACAGUAACGGAGGUUUGUAAAGUUUUGAAUCACAGUAAUGGAGGUUGGUAAAGUUCUGAGUCACAGUAAUGGAGGUUUGUAAAGUUCUCAGUCACAGUAAUGGAGGUUUGUAAAGUUCUGAGGCACAGUAAUGGAGGUUUGUAAAGUUCUGAGGCACAGUAAUGGAGGUUUGUAAAGUUUUGAGGAACAGUAAUGGAGGUUUGUAAAGUUCUGAGGCACAGUAAUGGAGGUUUGUAAAGUUCUGAGGCACAGUAAUGGAGGUUUGUAAAGUUUUGAGGAACAGUAAUGGA
Astyanax mexicanus (Mexican tetra) is the source of this 327-nucleotide long non-coding RNA. RefSeq lists it as uncharacterized. The record is from RefSeq and is a predicted model, not a curated record. NCBI's taxonomy places the organism in Eukaryota, Metazoa, Chordata, Actinopteri, Characiformes, Acestrorhamphidae. The transcript is spliced from 3 exons.